UACGUAGGGGGCUAGCGUUGUCCGGAAUCAUUGGGCGUAAAGCGCGUGUAGGCGGCCCGGUAAGUCCGCUGUGAAAGUCGGGGGCUCAACCCUCGGAUGCCGGUGGAUACUGUCGGGCUAGAGUGCGGAAGAGGCGAGUGGAAUUCCUGGUGUAGCGGUGAAAUGCGUAGAUAUUAGGAGGAACACCGGUGGCGAAGGCGGCUACCUGGCCCGAUACUGACGCUCAUGUGCGAAAGCGUGGGGAGCAAACAGG
This 253-nucleotide ribosomal RNA is filed under the name uncultured bacterium. RNAcentral describes it as "partial 16S ribosomal RNA". It matches the Rfam family "Bacterial small subunit ribosomal RNA", at positions 524 to 776 of the family's 1533-position model. The record is from RNAcentral.